UUCUUUUCUCCUCCCUUCUUGUUCCCUAUUAUUAGGGUUUUGUUGGAAUAAUUUUUCUACCGUACACCACUAUCAGUUGAAGCUGCCAGCAUGAUCUAAACUUACCUCUUGUAAUUAAUUAAGUUUGAGGGAAGAUUAGAUCAUGUGGUAGCUUCACCCGUUAGUUGGUACUACGAAAAUACCCUUAUUAUUAUUAUUCCUCAUAAAACCCUAAUUUCUUGAAUACUGUUGUAUUGCUCUUCCCACCAUAUAAUUAUAGAUGCAGGUUAUUUCCUCGGGAUGAAGAAAAAGGGUAAUGUUCUAAUCUAGUUUCUUGGAUUUUCUUAGUAUGAAUUUCAUCUGGAAUGAUUUCUUAUUUUUUAUCGUCACUUGAAAAGAAUUUAUACCUGUUAAUCCAACAUCUAUCCUGCCAAAUAUUAUGCUAGAAUGGUAUAUUUUACCUGAAAAAUUGGGACGUAUUUUUGGUUCUCGUUUGAUUAUCGAUUCUUGCUCUUGUUUUUUCAAUUCUUCUCAAAUACUUUUGAAUGCUUUCGUAUUUUUAGAAUUUAGUAGAAGAGAAUACCAAUGGUUUUGUUGGUGUUGGUAUUUUGAUUCUGAGUUAUCAAUCUCAUAAUUAUUGUGAAGAUUCCUAAAUAUGCUUCGAGGGGUGAGCCUCAAUAAAACCAAGAUUUUCUCCGUACUGUUUCCUCUGCUAAUUUUGUUGCCGCAGAAAAUGGACCGAAUUUUGAUAUUUCACGUUUUUAUUUUUAUUUUUGAGGCUGCCGUUUGUUUUAGUACUGAUGAUUUUGACAUGACCUUAUUCUUCUUCCAUCUUCUUUUAACCUAAGGUUGCUUCCCUGCUUAUUCACCGUUGUUCUAAAGUAAAGUGAAUUAUGGAUCUUUUGUUUCCAAUAUACAUUAAGUGUUCUUCAAACUUGCUAAAGUAAAGAUUUUCCUUGAGCUGCUAAAAUCAAGGAGAAAGGAAGGUGGAAAUGUUGGAGAUCUAAUUUGCAUAAUGACAUCAUACUUUGAACAUUUAAAUAUCAUGGUUUUCUCGACUGUGAAAUGAAAUGAUUUUAUCCUACAUUCUUUAAAAUAUGGAAGAGACACGGAGACCUUUAAUUAUGAGAACCAGUACGGUAUAACACCACAAACGAUCAUUUAAUUCCUCUUUAUGGUUUAUUAUUUCUUUAUUUUGGACGAAAUGAUGCUAAACGAUUACAAUGACUAAGUGCAAUGGACACCUUAAAGGGGAAGGAAAAAAAGAAGAAGGAAGAAAUAUAUAUUAAACAUUAAUGUUACUCAAUUAUAUUACUUAAACACUAGAACUUUUUUCUCUUCUGGAAAUUCCUGAUGUAAAAUAGGAUUGAGGGAGACAAGUUAGGGAGUAGGAACUAAAUCCUCAUUUUUUUAAAAAUAUUUGUGGAUCGGAAAUAUAUAUAUAUAUAUAUAUACACUUGUUUUUCCAUAGUUUCAGUUCAUCCCAUGUGUUGUUACAAGUGUUUGUCUUAUGCUCCUACAUCGUGAGAUCAUAUUUGUGUCAACAAUAAACCAAAAAAUGGAAGGGCUAGCUGUUUCAACUACCAGUGGAUCUGAGUGAGUACAAAAAUGAAACAGCAGACUUGUCUUACGUAUAGAUUCUAUUGUCCUAAGCAUCUAGCAUAUCUGCCUCUGCAAUUAUAAUCAAAUUAUAUCUUUCUGUUUAUUUCUUUUGGCAUCACUAAAGAGCGACAGCCCCACAUUUUUGUGACACCAAUUUCUUCUUUUCAAUUUGAAAAGAAGGCAAAAACAUUUUUUGUCGUUUAGAUUAACAAAUAACUCCGCUAUGAGCUUGUUCAUAUUGCCUAACGCAAACUUGAACAAAGGAGCAGAGUUGUAAUAGGUUGACAGUCAAUCUAUAUUUAGUGCUUAUUUUUAUUUUUGUUAUACUUAAUAAUGGACUGAGAUGAGUUCAAAUGGGCAGAAAUUCAAAAAUAAUCAGAUUUACGGUGGUAAUUGAAAAAUAGCCACAGUUUCAAAAGUAAUCGAAAUUUAGCCACUUUUCAUGUAAAGAUAAAUCUGAACGAAAACACUGUUCAAAAUCCGGAAAAUAGUCCAGCAUAAUAUACUGGAACUAUACUGGAGUUCCAGUAUAAUAUACCGGUCCAGCAUAAUAUGCUGGAAGUUCAUACGUAGGUGCUCCAAUUUCCAGUAUAUUAUGCUGGAACUUUUCGCGUGUUGGAGUUCCAGCAUAAUAUGCUGGAAGUUCAUACACAAGUGCACCAAUCUCCAGUAUAUUAUGCUGGACCGGUCCGUUUUGUAACAAAAUAGUGGCUAUCUUUCAAUGACUUUACAAACGCCGGCUAUUUUUCAAUUACCAGUCCGAAAACUGACUAGCCCGUGCUAAUUUUACGUUAAAAUGGAGCAAUAUGACCAAUAAAGAUUCACAUUGCAGACCACAACUUGCUUGUGGUUUAUCCGCAAUUGUUAUUGUUGCUGUAAUACUAACAAAUCAUCCCCUCCCACCUCAUACUUCAAAGGGAUGUUUAGAGCAAGAUUAAUGAACAGCCAAAGAAAAACGUUACCAUUCGCUACACAAAAUGUCUAUACGUUUCCAUCAAGAUUUUCUUUAUGUGGAAUCAUAAUAGACAGCUUGGAAUACAACAAAUUUUCUAUUAAAAAAAGAUGCAUGCAUGUGAAAUCACAGAGGCCCUUUUUUGAUUAGUAGAUACAACCCACAAAAGUUAUGCCCUUUUUUGAUUAGUAGAUACAACCCAAAAAAGUUAUCUCCCUCACCCCCCACUCCUUACUCCAUUGUGUUUUUUUUCUUUCUCUGAUGGUGAAAUGAAACUGUUUUGUAUACAUAUGCAUUAUGCACAAUUCAGUUGAGCAAGACUAUUAAGUUUGUCUUGUUUUUCUAGUUAGGAAGGUUCAUAUUUGGGCAAGAAUCUUGAGAGCUUUCUUGUACUUAGUAAAAGAAAAGAUAUGCAUAUAAAAGUUAUUUGAUUCUUUCCUUAAUUACUUCUCCAAUAUGAUUCUUGGUUUGGUUAUUUAUUUACUCUUGAUGGAAAUAAGAAGAAAAAAUCAGUUUACUUCUAGGGUUUUGUUGCAUUCUACAAAUGGAAUGGUCCCCUGAAGUGACAUCCAGCUAGGCAUUUCAAUUCAUCAGUUACUCCAAGAACUCAAUAUUAAGGGACUGAAAGAGACGUAGUGAAGCAAAUGUUCAUAUAG
This 3189-nucleotide long non-coding RNA is filed under the name Nicotiana tabacum (common tobacco). Its description in RNAcentral is "long non-coding RNA (NTAB_LNC010116)". The stretch from base 65 to 168 matches the Rfam family "MIR167 microRNA precursor family". Lineage: Eukaryota; Viridiplantae; Streptophyta; Magnoliopsida; Solanales; Solanaceae. The record is from RNAcentral.